This 208-nucleotide long non-coding RNA is filed under the name Elaeis guineensis (African oil palm). RNAcentral's name for it is "long non-coding RNA (EGUI_LNC056261)". Lineage: Eukaryota; Viridiplantae; Streptophyta; Magnoliopsida; Arecales; Arecaceae. The record is from RNAcentral.
GCUAGCACAUUGUAUUAACCCAAGUUCCCAAUUAGGUUAGUUCAAAUAAAUUUGAGCUAGUCUUAACCUAUUGCCUUUGAUCUAAUUAGAUUACAUCCAAUUUAUUUGAUUUAUUUUCUUAUCUUAAAAGUGUUUAGAUAAGAAAGGAGUCUUCUACGCCACUAGGUCCAUGCCAUUUAUUUAUUGCCGUCCUAUAUUUAUUGGCACC